This 433-nucleotide ribosomal RNA is filed under the name uncultured bacterium. Its description in RNAcentral is "partial 16S ribosomal RNA". It matches the Rfam family "Bacterial small subunit ribosomal RNA", at positions 29 to 507 of the family's 1533-position model. The record is from RNAcentral.
AGCGAACGCUGGCGGCAGGCCUAACACAUGCAAGUCGAACGAACUCUUCGGAGUUAGUGGCUGAUGGGUUAGUAACACGUGGGAACGUGCGUUUUGGUUCUGAAUAACUCAUGGAAACUUGUGCUAAUACCGAAUGUGCCCUUCGGGGUGAAGAUUUUUCGCCAUUGGAGCGGCCCGCGUCUUAUUAGCUUGUUGGUGAGGUAACGGCACACCAAGGGGAGGAUCAGUAGCUGGUCUGAGAGGAGGCCCAGCCACACCGGGACUGGGCCACGACGCCGACUCCUGCGGGAGGCAGCAGUGGGGAAUCUUGCGGAAUGGGCGAAAGGCUGACGCAGCCCGGGCGCGUGAAUGAUGAAGGUAUUAGGAUUGUCAAAUUCUUUGACCGGGGACGAUAAUGACGGUACCCGGAGAAGAAGCCCCGGCUAACUUCGUG